AGUCCACUUCGCCCGCCGGCCGGCGCACUCAUCAGUUACUCUCGCAACCCGACGACCGCCACCGCCCCCUCCCCCUCCCCGUCGCGCUCUCUCCCCGGGUGGGAGGCUUCCCGACCGGCGGCGACCGCCCAUGGGCCCCGUCCGGCUCGCCCUCCUCCUCCUCGCCGCCGCCGCCGCCGUCCUGCUCGGCGGCGGCGAGGCGGUGUACAUCCCCUACAACACGUCGGCGGGGGUGGUCAACGGGAAGCUGAACGUGCACGUGGUCCCCCACACCCACGACGACGUCGGCUGGCUCAAGACCGUCGACCAGUACUACGUCGGAUCCAACAACUCCAUCCAGAAUGCCUGCGUCCAGAACGUGCUGGAUUCGCUCGUGCCGGCGCUGCUCAAGGACGAGAACCGCAAGUUCAUCUACGUCGAGCAGGCGUUUUUCCAGAGAUGGUGGAGGCAGCAGAGCGACAUGAUCAAGGAUACGGUGAAGGGGCUCGUCAGCUCCGGACGGUUGGAGUUCAUAAAUGGGGGUAUGUGCAUGCACGACGAGGCGACUGUGCACUACAUUGACAUGAUCGAUCAGACUACGCUGGGGCACAGGUUCAUCAAGGAGGAGUUUGGUCAGAUUCCGAGGAUUGGUUGGCAGAUCGAUCCGUUUGGGCACUCUGCGGUUCAGGCUUACCUGCUCGGUGCAGAGGUAGGAUUUGAUGCCUUAUAUUUUUUCCGGAUUGAUUACCAAGAUCGUGACACGAGGAAUGUGACAAAAGAACUCGAGGUUGUAUGGAGGGGCUCCAAGACCUUCGGCUCAUCAGCUGAUAUUUUUGCUGGCAUCUUCCCAAAAAAUUAUGAACCACCACCUGGUGAGUUUUAUUUUGAAGUCGAUGAUACUUCCCCUGUUGUCCAGGAUGAUCCCCUUCUUUUUGAUUACAAUGUUGAACAACGGGUGAAUGAUUUUGUUGCUGCAGCGCUGGCACAGGCAAAUGUUACAAGGACAAACCAUAUCAUGUUUACAAUGGGAACAGACUUCAAAUAUCAAUACGCAGAAAGUUGGUUCAGACAGAUGGACAAAUUAAUUCAUUAUGUGAACAAGGAUGGCCGUGUGAAUGCCCUGUACUCUACUCCUUCCAUUUACACUGAUGCGAAAUUUUCUGCAAAUGAGCCAUGGCCUCUUAAGACAAACGAUUUCUUUCCAUAUGCAGAUAACCCCAAUGCAUACUGGACAGGUUACUUCACAAGCAGACCCGCCUUAAAACGAUAUGUCCGCAUGAUGAGUGGAUAUUACUUGGCAGCUAGGCAGCUGGAGUUCUUCAUUGGAAGAAGCAAGUCAGGUUCCACAACAGAUAGCUUAGGAGAUGCCCUAGCUCUUGCUCAGCAUCAUGAUGCUGUUACAGGAACAGAGAAGCAACACGUUGCAAAUGAUUAUGCGAAGAGAUUAUCGAUUGGCUAUAAGAAAGCGGAGGAACUGGUUUCCACUUCUCUCGGUUGCUUGAGUGAGUCAGACUCAAAUUCUCGUUGUUCGUCCCCAACGACAAAGUUUGGGCAGUGUCCUCUCCUGAACAUUACUUAUUGUCCCCCUUCCGAGAUGAACUUAUCUCAAGGAAAAAGCUUGGUUGUUCUUGUGUACAACUCUCUUGGAUGGAAACGAGAGGAUGUCCUCCGCAUACCAGUCAUGAGUGACUCAAUUGUUGUCCAUGAUUCUGAGGGAAGAGAAAUUGAAUCGCAACUUCUGCCUAUAGCUAAUGCCUCAUCGCACCUACGGGACAGACAUGUCAAGGCUUACUUGGGCACAUCGCCUGCCGCAAGUCCUAAGUUUUGGGUUGCUUUUCCUGCUUCGGUACCACCACUUGGUUUUAGCACUUAUUUUAUCUCGAGCGGAAAGAGAUCAGCAUCUAUCUCUUCGACAUCCACUCUAAACUCUCAGGGAAGUGAAAGUAGGAAUCUGCAAGUUGGGCAAGGGCAUUUGAAACUUCAAUAUGAUGCAGCUGGAGCAUUAUCACAGUACUCCGAUAGCAAGACUCAGGUUGAAGCAAAUUUCGAGCAGAAGUACAAGUAUUACAUAGGACAAGAUGGAGGCGGAGAUGAUCCUCAGGCUUCUGGAGCGUACAUAUUUCGCCCUAAGGACGUUGUUCCUAUCAAAACUGAUGGUCAGGUUCCUCCCAUGAUUCUGCGUGGGCCCAUAUUGGAUGAAGUGCAUCAGCAGAUUAAUCCAUGGAUAUAUCAGAUAACUAGAGUUUACAAGGGAAAGGACUAUAUGGAAACCGAGUUCAUAGUUGGACCAAUACCAAUCGACGAUGAAAAUGGAAAAGAACUUUCAACUGAAAUCAUUACAAGCAUGGCAACAAACAAAACAUUUUACAUUGAUUCCAGUGGGCGUGAUUUCAUCAAAAGGGUACGGGAUUAUCGCUCGGAGUGGAAGAUUCAAGUAAACCAACCUGUUGCUGGAAACUAUUAUCCUAUUAAUCUUGGCAUUUAUGUGGAAGAUGGCAGCAAAGAGUUAUCUAUACUUGUAGACAGGUCUGUUGGAGGUUCGAGCAUAAAGGAUGGACAAAUAGAGAUAAUGCUACACAGGAGGCUACUCAAUGAUGAUGGUCGUGGUGUUGCGGAAGCUCUAGAGGAAAAAGUCUGUUUGGAUGAUCAAUGUGAAGGACUAGUUAUCCAAGGAAAAUACUAUCUCAAAAUUGACCCACAAGGUGACGGAGCUAGGUGGCGUCGUACAUUUGGUCAGGAACUGUACUCUCCUCUUCUUCUUGCGUUUGCAGAAAAGGACGGAGGCAACUGGGCGAAUUCACAUGUUUCAUCAUUCUCUGCAAUGGAUCCAACUUACAGCCUUCCUGAAAAUGUCGCGUUGCUUACUCUUGAGGAACUCGAAGAUGGAAGUGUUCUCCUUCGGUUGGCUCACCUAUACGAGGCUGGAGAGCAUAAGGAUCUCUCGGCUCCGGCGAGUGUCGACCUCAAGAGGGUAUUCCCAGAUAAAAAGAUCGGCAAGAUAAUCGAAACAAGCCUAUCAGCGAACCAAGAGCGCGCCGCCAUGGAGAAGAAGAGGCUGAAGUGGAAGGUGGCUGGGCCUCCCCCAAAAGAAAAUGUGGUCAAAUUCAUGAUUGAUGGUGAUUUCAUGCCUGUCCGAGGGAAAACCGUUAGAUACACCAUAAAAGAGAAUUAUCCCGGCAAAUUCUUGCCAGAACUUACCUUUACACAAGUUGAGAAAUUGAGAGCAUUGUUCCGUCCAAUUACUUCACUGCCAGUGCCAGAUGCACCACCCCUGCAUUAUGUUGACAACAGUCAUCCCGCUCCAUCUGCUCCUUUUCUGCCUCCUUCGGCUUCAUCUUCAGACCCAACACAGCCAUCUGCUUAUGUGCCUCACCCAAGCGCCUGUGUUCUCACUCCAGAUGCUCAGCUGGUGCCAAAUGAACCUUAUGCAUGCCCAGAUUCUCACCUUCCUGCUCCAACUGCUCAAUUCGCCGCGCCUGCUUACUAUGUGACCACAACUGCACAUCCGUAUCAAGCAUAUGGUGCAUCGCCUGCCACCUACCACUACGCCCAAGCGCCUCCUUUGCAACUUGUCUAUGUGCAAGCCCAACGCCCUGUGCCAGAACAUGUUACAGACCCUGCCUGUUCCUCUGAUCCCAACUAUGAUGCUAAUGGGAAUGAUCCGUAUCUAUUUGAUGCUGUGAAGUCUCAUUACCAGGAAACUACUUCUGGGAGAGCUGCUGCACCACAUGAAGUGGCCGCGACGAACCUGCAACUUGUCAUGCACUAUGGGUACGCCCCAGGCAGUGAGGGUGCAACCGGUGAAACUACGCAGUCCAGUGCUGAAGGAGCCGCAUCGGCGAUCUACUCCCAUGCGGGUGCCCCAGCAACGCCAUCGCACCUGCACCACAUGACGUGGCCGUGACAAACCUGCAACUUGUCAUGCACUAUGGGUACGCCCCAGGCAGCUAUGGUGCAACCGAAGAAACUACGCAGUCCAGUGCUGAAGGAGCUGCAUCAGUGAUCUACUCCCAUGCGGGUGCCCCAGUGACCACUCAGGCUGCGCCAUCGGUGUAUGCCGUGGCAGCUGCACCGGCUAACCUGUGAUUGCCCUGUCACCAUUCAGUCUUUCUGGCAACAUGGUCAAUCCUAACCAAGUGAGCUGUUGCUCUGCCCUGUCGUGGUUCACCAUUCUACCCACAUAGGGGACUGGGAGUUCGGAUCGGUGAAAGAGGACAUCGCUCUCCUCUCUGCUGAUGUGUGACCAUUUCAACGUUCUUUUUGCCAACAUGAUCGAUCCGAAUCAAGAGCGCUGCUGCUCUGUGCCGGUGUGCUUUGCCAUUCUUUCUACCAAGAGACUGGGAUUUCAGAUCGGUGAAAGAUGGCAUUGCUCUCGUUUUUGCUGAUGUGUUUGGUUGGUAUGAUGUGUAGAUGGAUUCAGCUACUGCUGCUCUUUGGUUUGUUAGACACUAACUGCUACUCCCUCCUUCCCCUAAUAUAAGAGGUUUUUGACAUGAGACGGGGACAGUACCUGUUGGUGUCGAGUUUAGAGUGGUAUAAGGUGAUGUAACUAUUGUGAGACCAACUCUACCACAAUCCCUGUAUGGAUCCGUAUACCAAGAAA
RNA transcript from Triticum aestivum (bread wheat), 4582 nucleotides. It is a transcript of the gene named alpha-mannosidase At3g26720-like, with no coding region annotated. The record is from RefSeq and is a predicted model, not a curated record. The transcript is spliced from 32 exons. NCBI's taxonomy places the organism in Eukaryota, Viridiplantae, Streptophyta, Magnoliopsida, Poales, Poaceae.